GUGUUCACUCUUGAAGCAUAUGCACCCAAACUGGAACCAUACAGAGAUUAGCAAUACCCCUGUAAAAAGAGAAUGUGUAAAUUUGUGAAGAGUAUCAUAUUUUA
Suncus etruscus (white-toothed pygmy shrew) is the source of this 104-nucleotide small nuclear RNA. NCBI's taxonomy places the organism in Eukaryota, Metazoa, Chordata, Mammalia, Eulipotyphla, Soricidae. The record is from RefSeq and is a predicted model, not a curated record.